GACGAACGCUGGCGGCGUGCCUAAUACAUGCAAGUAGAACGCACAGUUUAUACCGUAGCUUGCUACACCAUAGACUGUGAGUUGCGAACGGGUGAGUAACGCGUAGGUAACCUGCCUGGUAGCGGGGGAUAACUAUUGGAAACGAUAGCUAAUACCGCAUAAUAUUAAUUAUUGCAUGAUAAUUGAUUGAAAGAUGCAACUGCAUCACUACCAGAUGGACCUGCGUUGUAUUAGCUAGUAGGUGAGGUAACGGCUCACCUAGGCGACGAUACAUAGCCGACCUGAGAGGGUGAUCGGCCACACUGGGACUGAGACACGGCCCAGACUCCUACGGGAGGCAGCAGUAGGGAAUCUUCGGCAAUGGACGAAAGUCUGACCGAGCAACGCCGCGUGAGUGAAGAAGGUUUUCGGAUCGUAAAGCUCUGUUGUAAGAGAUGAACGGGUGUGAGAGUGGAAAGUUCACACUGUGACGGUAUCUUACCAGAAAGGGACGGCUAACUACGUG
RNAcentral lists this ribosomal RNA (505 nucleotides) under uncultured bacterium. Its description in RNAcentral is "partial 16S ribosomal RNA". It matches the Rfam family "Bacterial small subunit ribosomal RNA", at positions 28 to 507 of the family's 1533-position model. The record is from RNAcentral.